GGCGAACGGGUGAGUAACACGUGGGCAACCUGCCCCGGACACCGGGAUAACCCAGGGAAACCUGAGCUAAUACCGGAUACUCCGGCGCGAUCGCAUGGUCGUACCGGGAAAGCUCCGACGGUCCGGGAUGGGCCCGCGGCCUAUCAGCUUGUUGGUGGGGUAACGGCCCACCAAGGCGACGACGGGUAGCUGGUCUGAGAGGACGGCCAGCCACACUGGGACUGAGACACGGCCCAGACUCCUACGGGAGGCAGCAGUGGGGGAUCUUGCGCUAAUGCGCGAAAGCGUGACGCAGCGACGCCGCGUGGGGGAUGAAGGCCUUCGGGUUGUAAACCCCUUUCGGCAGGGACGAAGGGAAACUGACGGUACCUGCAGAAGAAGUCCCGGCUAACUACGUGCCAGCAGCCGCGGUAACACGUAGGGGACGAGCGUUGUCCGGAUUCAUUGGGCGUAAAGCGCGCGUAGGCGGCUCGGAAAGUCGGUCGUGAAAUGCCGGGGCUCAACCCCGGGACUGCGUCCGAUACUUCCGGGCUGGAGGUAGGUAGGGGAGAUCGGAAUUCCUGGUGUAGCGGUGAAAUGCGCAGAUAUCAGGAGGAACACCGGUGGCGAAGGCGGAUCUCUGGGCCUUACCUGACGCUGAGGCGCGAAAGCUAGGGGAGCGAACAGGAUUAGAUACCCUGGUAGUCC
RNAcentral lists this ribosomal RNA (687 nucleotides) under uncultured bacterium. Its description in RNAcentral is "bacterial SSU rRNA". It matches the Rfam family "Bacterial small subunit ribosomal RNA", at positions 97 to 796 of the family's 1533-position model. The record is from RNAcentral.